Molecule: ribosomal RNA, 498 nt
Filed under: uncultured bacterium
Lineage: Bacteria
Description: partial 16S ribosomal RNA
Rfam family: Bacterial small subunit ribosomal RNA
Source: RNAcentral
AUUGAACGCUGGCGGCAUGCCUUACACAUGCAAGUCGAACGGUAACAGGUCUUCGGAUGCUGACGAGUGGCGAACGGGUGAGUAAUACAUCGGAACGUGCCUAGUAGUGGGGGAUAACUACUCGAAAGAGUGGCUAAUACCGCAUGAGAUCUACGGAUGAAAGCAGGGGAUCGUAAGACCUUGUGCUACUAGAGCGGCCGAUGGCAGAUUAGGUAGUUGGUGUGAUAAAAGCUUACCAAGCCGACGAUCUGUAGCUGGUCUGAGAGGACGAUCAGCCACACUGGGACUGAGACACGGCCCAGACUCCUACGGGAGGCAGCAGUGGGGAAUUUUGGACAAUGGGCGAAAGCCUGAUCCAGCAAUGCCGCGUGCAGGAUGAAGGCCUUCGGGUUGUAAACUGCUUUUGUACGGAACGAAAAGCCCCGGGUUAAUACCCUGGGGUCAUGACGGUACCGUAAGAAUAAGCACCGGCCAACUACGUGCCAGCCGCCGCGGUAA